AGUGAACGCUGGCGGUAGGCCUAACACAUGCAAGUCGAACGGCAGCACAGUAAGAGCUUGCUCUUACGGGUGGCGAGUGGCGGACGGGUGAGGAAUACAUCGGAAUCUACUUUUUCGUGGGGGAUAACGUAGGGAAACUUACGCUAAUACCGCAUACGACCUACGGGUGAAAGCAGGGGAUCUUCGGACCUUGCGCGAUUGAAUGAGCCGAUGUCGGAUUAGCUAGUUGGCGGGGUAAAGGCCCACCAAGGCGACGAUCCGUAGCUGGUCUGAGAGGAUGAUCAGCCACACUGGAACUGAGACACGGUCCAGACUCCUACGGGAGGCAGCAGUGGGGAAUAUAGGACAAUGGGCGCAAGCCUGAUCCAGCCAUACCGCGUGGGUGAAGAAGGCAUUCGGGUUGUAAAGCCCUUUUGUUGGGAAAGAAAAGCAGCAGGUUAAUACCCCGCUGUGCUGACGGUACCCAAAGAAUAAGCACCGGAUAACUUAGUG
This 492-nucleotide ribosomal RNA is filed under the name uncultured bacterium. RNAcentral's name for it is "partial 16S ribosomal RNA". It matches the Rfam family "Bacterial small subunit ribosomal RNA", at positions 29 to 507 of the family's 1533-position model. The record is from RNAcentral.